RNAcentral lists this long non-coding RNA (728 nucleotides) under Anas platyrhynchos platyrhynchos (common mallard). RNAcentral describes it as "lncRNA (ENSAPLG00000017415.1)". The record is from RNAcentral. Lineage: Eukaryota; Metazoa; Chordata; Aves; Anseriformes; Anatidae.
AUGAAUUCUAGAGAGCGACACAGACUAGGUGCUUUGCCUGGACUUCUUUUCCUACAGGGCAUGUGCAAUCAUACAACUGCUGUGAGUCAGCUUGGUGUGUUGGAAGCUUAUACUUUGAGAUGUGCAUUGGUUACCAUGGCAUAGAGUGAGUGAAGGAGCACAAGCAUGAGGGAGCACAGGUCCCUUAACUGCAGAUAGAACAUCAUCUGAGCUGUUUUGUGCAUACGUAAGGGAAGUCUUAAUUCAGCGGUUAGCCAGUACAAGUGGUCAUAAUUUACUAGUGAACUGCAGCAAACGCAACCAGAGCAAAACCAGCUGGAGUGCCAACAGUGGAUGUGUCCUGAGCUUGAUUGACUGCAACAUAAAGUGUUUUCCAAGUUUUGUACUCUGACUGAAGAGAAGAUGAACAUCAGGUUCUUUGCAUGUGAAGUACGGCCAGCGCUUUUAGGUGGUCAAUUGUUUGCUUAAUCCAAAGGCCACUGCUAAGACAGAGUCUUGAGUUUUUCACGCUGUGAGGAAUUUCCAUGUGACCUUGCAACUAAAUUGAUUUUUGAUCUGAGUGGAGUGGUGUGCUGCUGAGGAGACAGAAUGGGACCUGAAGGGGGCAAACACUGAAUCUUUUUGGCUUGACUUUCAGUCAAGGUAACUCACUGGGGUUCCUGAAGGUGAUGCAAGUAAACAUCUGCCAAGUGAAUCUCUGUGUCAAGGCAGCCAUUGUGGGCCAACUG